RNAcentral lists this ribosomal RNA (497 nucleotides) under uncultured bacterium. Its description in RNAcentral is "partial 16S ribosomal RNA". It matches the Rfam family "Bacterial small subunit ribosomal RNA", at positions 28 to 507 of the family's 1533-position model. The record is from RNAcentral.
GAUGAACGCUGGCGGCGUGCCUAAUACAUGCAAGUCGAGCGAACAGACGAGGAGGUUGCUCCUCUGACGUUAGCGGCGGACGGGUGAGUAACACGUGGAUAACCUACCUAUAAGACUGGGAUAACUUCGGGAAACCGGAGCUAAUACCGGAUAAUAUAUUGAACCGCAUGGUUCAAUAGUGAAAGACGGUUUUGCUGUCACUUAUAGAUGGAUCCGCGCCGCAUUAGCUAGUUGGUAAGGUAACGGCUUACCAAGGCGACGAUGCGUAGCCGACCUGAGAGGGUGAUCGGCCACACUGGAACUGAGACACGGUCCAGACUCCUACGGGAGGCAGCAGUAGGGAAUCUUCCGCAAUGGGCGAAAGCCUGACGGAGCAACGCCGCGUGAGUGAUGAAGGUCUUCGGAUCGUAAAACUCUGUUAUUAGGGAAGAACAAAUGUGUAAGUAACUAUGCACGUCUUGACGGUACCUAAUCAGAAAGCCACGGCUAACUACGUG